GGUCCGCUGGCUCAAUGGCAGAGCGUCUGACUACGGUUCUAUCAGGAGGUUCCAGGUUCGACCCCUGGGUGGAUCG
Molecule: transfer RNA, 76 nt
Filed under: Thermochaetoides thermophila DSM 1495
Lineage: Eukaryota; Fungi; Ascomycota; Sordariomycetes; Sordariales; Chaetomiaceae
Description: Chaetomium thermophilum var. thermophilum DSM 1495 tRNA-Arg
Rfam family: tRNA
About the family: Transfer RNA (tRNA) molecules are approximately 80 nucleotides in length.
Source: RNAcentral